This 719-nucleotide ribosomal RNA is filed under the name uncultured bacterium. Its description in RNAcentral is "bacterial SSU rRNA". It matches the Rfam family "Bacterial small subunit ribosomal RNA", at positions 8 to 722 of the family's 1533-position model. The record is from RNAcentral.
AGAGUUUGAUCAUGGCUCAGAUUGAACGCUGGCGGCAUGCUUUACACAUGCAAGUCGAACGGCAGCACGGGGGCAACCCUGGUGGCGAGUGGCGAACGGGUGAGUAAUAUAUCGGAACAUGUCCGGAAGUGGGGGAUAACGUAGCGAAAGUUACGCUAAUACCGCAUAUGCCCUAAGGGGGAAAGGGGGGGAUCGCAAGACCUCUCGCUUUCGGAGUGGCCGAUACCGGAUUAGCUAGUUGGUGAGGUAAAGGCUCACCAAGGCGAUGAUCGGUAGCUGGUCUGAGAGGAUGAUCAGCCACACUGGGACUGAGACACGGCCCAGACUCCUACGGGAGGCAGCAGUGGGGAAUUUUGGACAAUGGGGGCAACCCUGAUCCAGCCAUUCCGCGUGAGUGAAGAAGGCCUUCGGGUUGUAAAGCUCUUUUGUCCGGAGCGAAACGGGUAGCCCUAAUACGGCUGCCUACUGACGGUACCGGAAGAAUAAGCACCGGCUAACUACGUGCCAGCAGCCGCGGUAAUACGUAGGGUGCGAGCGUUAAUCGGAAUUACUGGGCGUAAAGCGUGCGCAGGCGGUUUUGUAAGCCAGAUGUGAAAUCCCCGGGCUUAACCUGGGAAUGGCAUUUGGGACUGCAAGGCUGGAGUAUGGCAGAGGGGACUAGAAUUCCUGGUGUAGCAGUGAAAUGCGUAGAUAUCAGGAGGAAUACCGAUGGCGAAGGC